GUGCUCGCUUUGGCAGCAUAUAUACUAAAAUUGGAACGAUACAGAAAAGAUUAGCAUGGCCCCAUGAAAAUUCGUGAAGUGUUAAAAAAAAGAACAUUUAUUU
Molecule: small nuclear RNA, 103 nt
Organism: Dipodomys ordii (Ord's kangaroo rat)
Lineage: Eukaryota; Metazoa; Chordata; Mammalia; Rodentia; Heteromyidae
Source: Ensembl